Molecule: long non-coding RNA, 130 nt
Organism: Myripristis murdjan (pinecone soldierfish)
Lineage: Eukaryota; Metazoa; Chordata; Actinopteri; Holocentriformes; Holocentridae
Exons: 3
Source: RefSeq, a predicted model, not a curated record
AGAUACACUGCCACUCUGUUAGAGGAGGGGGGGGCAGGGAUGUCUGUAAUGAUGUCGUUAUGCCUGACAGAGAAACUUUCAUCAGAGCAGAUCAGACUCCAGGAGUUUUUGUUCCUUCCCAGUCCAGAGU